Molecule: ribosomal RNA, 492 nt
Filed under: uncultured bacterium
Lineage: Bacteria
Description: partial 16S ribosomal RNA
Rfam family: Bacterial small subunit ribosomal RNA
Source: RNAcentral
GAUGAACGCUAGCUACAGGCUUAGCACAUGCAAGUCGAGGGGCAGCGGUAUCGAAAGCUUGCUUUCGGUAGCCGGCGACCGGCGCACGGGUGAGUAACGCGUAUCGAGCCUGCCUCAUACUCGGGAAUAGCCUUGCGAAAGUAAGAUUAAUGCCCGGUGUUUUCAGAGUCCCGCAUGAGGCUUUGAACAAAGAUUUAUCGGUAUGAGAUGGCGAUGCGUCCCAUUAGCUUGUUGGCGGGGUAACGGCCCACCAAGGCAUCGAUGGGUAGGGGUUCUGAGAGGAAGGUCCCCCACAUUGGAACUGAGACACGGUCCAAACUCCUACGGGAGGCAGCAGUGAGGAAUAUUGGUCAAUGGGCGGAAGCCUGAACCAGCCAAGUAGCGUGCAGGAAGACGGCCCUCCGGGUUGUAAACUGCUUUUAGUUGGGAAUAAAACGGGGCUCGUGAGCCCCCUUGCAUGUACCAUCAGAAAAAGGACCGGCUAAUUCCGUG